GAUUCUCCUAGUAACGGCGAGUGAACGGAGAUUAGCCCAUCACCGAAGUCUAUUCACUUUUGUGGACAGGACAAUGUGGUGUUUAGGCUUGUGCCUGGGAGUGCUUGCCUACUCGAAGUCCAACUCCGAUUAUGGCUAGGACCAUGCCCAGAGCGGGUGAAAGGCCCGUUCGGGUAGGUUUUGUUGUUUUGAAGCACUCCUCAGAUGCACUUGCCUUCGAGUCGGAUUGCUUGAGAAUGCAGUCCAAAGUGGGUGGUAAACUCCAUCCAAGGCUAAAUACUGGCACGAGUCCGAUAGUAGACAAGUACCGUGAGGGAAA
Molecule: ribosomal RNA, 319 nt
Filed under: Dactylogyrus bifurcatus
Lineage: Eukaryota; Metazoa; Platyhelminthes; Monogenea; Dactylogyridea; Dactylogyridae
Description: eukaryotic LSU rRNA
Rfam family: Eukaryotic large subunit ribosomal RNA
Source: RNAcentral